Molecule: ribosomal RNA, 897 nt
Filed under: Fusarium graminearum
Lineage: Eukaryota; Fungi; Ascomycota; Sordariomycetes; Hypocreales; Nectriaceae
Description: LSU rRNA
Rfam family: Eukaryotic large subunit ribosomal RNA
Source: RNAcentral
GCAUAUCAAUAAGCGGAGGAAAAGAAACCAACAGGGAUUGCCCUAGUAACGGCGAAGUGAAGCGGCAACAGCUCAAAUUUGAAAUCUGGCUUUCGGGCCCGAGUUGUAAUUUGUAGAGGAUGAUUUUGAUGCGGUGCCUUCCGAGUUCCCUGGAACGGGACGCCAUAGAGGGUGAGAGCCCCGUCUGGUUGGAUGCCAAAUCUCUGUAAAUCUCCUUCGACGAGUCGAGUAGUUUGGGAAUGCUGCUCUAAAUGGGAGGUAUAUGUCUUCUAAAGCUAAAUACCGGCCAGAGACCGAUAGCGCACAAGUAGAGUGAUCGAAAGAUGAAAAGCACUUUGAAAAGAGAGUUAAAAAGUACGUGAAAUUGUUGAAAGGGAAGCGUUUAUGACCAGACUUGGGCUUGGUUAAUCAUCUGGGGUUCUCUCCAGUGCACUUUUCCAGUCCAGGCCAGCAUCAGUUUUCGCCGGGGGAUAAAGGCUUCGGGAAUGUGGCUCCCCUCGGGGAGUGUUAUAGCCCGUUGUGUAAUACCCUGGUGGGGACUGAGGUUCGCGCUUCUGCAAGGAUGCUGGCGUAAUGGUCAUCAACGACCCGUCUUGAAACACGGACCAAGGAGUCGUCUUCGUAUGCGAGUGUUCGGGUGUCAAACCCCUACGCGUAAUGAAAGUGAACGCAGGUGAGAGCUUCGGCGCAUCAUCGACCGAUCCUGAUGUUCUCGGAUGGAUUUGAGUAAGAGCAUACGGGGCCGGACCCGAAAGAAGGUGAACUAUGCCUGUGUAGGGUGAAGCCAGAGGAAACUCUGGUGGAGGCUCGCAGCGGUUCUGACGUGCAAAUCGAUCGUCAAACAUGGGCAUGGGGGGCGAAAGACUAAUCGAACCUUCUAGUAGCUGGUUUCCGCGA